RNAcentral lists this ribosomal RNA (177 nucleotides) under uncultured bacterium. RNAcentral's name for it is "partial 16S ribosomal RNA". It matches the Rfam family "Bacterial small subunit ribosomal RNA", at positions 1322 to 1500 of the family's 1533-position model. The record is from RNAcentral.
GAAGUCGGAAUUGCUGUAAUGGCAGGUCAGCAUACUGCCGUGAAUACGUUCCCGGGCCUUGUACACACCGCCCGUCACACCAUGAGAGUUGGGAAUACCCGAAGCCUGUGAGCUAACUUUUAGAGGCAGCAGUCGAAGGUAGAAUCAAUGAUUGGGGUGAAGUCGUAACAAGGUAUC